GUAAUUUUAAAAGAAAUAAGGCAGGCAUGAUGGCACAUACUUGGAGUUCCAGCUGCUUGGGAGGCUGAGGUAGGAGAUCAUUUGAGCCCACCAAGCUGGCCUUGAACUCAUGGCAAUCUUUCUGCUUCAGGCUCCCAAAUGCUGGUAUUACAGGUGAGCUAUUUAGGACCUGUGCUUUCCAGCCUGGGCCAGUUGGGACCAUAUGUAAAUGGACUGAAAACAGGCAGUUAAAACAUCAACCCUACCAGGAGAGGGGAGAAAUUCAAAUGCAGAUCAGCAGGACACUACCUCCAAAAUGCCAAGUCACAGACCAGCAACAGGUGUUAUAAGCUGCAUUAGUGACCACCAGAGAGAGAAAUUCCUAAUUACCAAGCGCCUCUGAUCGCUCCGUGUCACUAGAGCCUGGGAGCUGAACGCGAGAUCUAAAGUUGACGCACACGUGAAAGUCUGGAUCAGGCAUUUGACCUUUUUUCCACCGGCCCCCAGAAUUUAAGGAAG
Long non-coding RNA from Heterocephalus glaber (naked mole-rat), 498 nucleotides. The record is from Ensembl. NCBI's taxonomy places the organism in Eukaryota, Metazoa, Chordata, Mammalia, Rodentia, Bathyergidae.